AUGAACGCUGGCGGCGUGCCUAAUACAUGCAAGUCGAGCGAACAGAUGAGGAGCUUGCUCCUCGGACGUUAGCGGCGGACGGGUGAGUAACACGUGGAUAACCUACCUAUAAGACUGGGAUAACUUCGGGAAACCGGAGCUAAUACCGGAUAAUAUAUUGAACCGCAUGGUUCAAUAGUGAAAGACGGUUUUGCUGUCACUUAUAGAUGGAUCCGCGCCGCAUUAGCUAGUUGGUAAGGUAACGGCUUACCAAGGCGACGAUGCGUAGCCGACCUGAGAGGGUGAUCGGCCACACUGGAACUGAGACACGGUCCAGACUCCUACGGGAGGCAGCAGUAGGGAAUCUUCCGCAAUGGGCGAAAGCCUGACGGAGCAACGCCGCGUGAGUGAUGAAGGUCUUCGGAUCGUAAAACUCUGUUAUUAGGGAAGAACAAAUGUGUAAGUAACUAUGCACGUCUUGACGGUACCUAAUCAGAAAGCCACGGCUAACUACGUG
RNAcentral lists this ribosomal RNA (496 nucleotides) under uncultured bacterium. RNAcentral's name for it is "partial 16S ribosomal RNA". It matches the Rfam family "Bacterial small subunit ribosomal RNA", at positions 29 to 507 of the family's 1533-position model. The record is from RNAcentral.